UUGGAAUACAGUGAAUCAGAUAAGCUGAAAAACUUCAGGGGCAAGCGAUGUUGAGAGGAGGCGCUGCAAAGGCAAACUUCAUAUCAUCAUGCUCAAGUUCCACAUCUGUGAAGUCACAGUCAGGUAGCUCACUUGGUAAGCUGACGUUAUUAACAUUAUCAACCACAGAGAAAUCAUCAAACAGAUGAUCAUAGUCCUCGUCCUUGAAAAAAUAAUCAAAGUCCAUCUCCCCAGCAGCCUUUGCGCCAGACUUCUCUUCUGCUGCUAAGAAGCUCAGAUCAGGGAUCUCCAGCUCAGAAAGGUCGAAACCUUCCUUGGUCAAAUCACCAGAAGCAGCAACAUCUUUCCUCAGAGACACCUUUUCUUUAGAAGCAGCAGAACGCAAGCACUGGCUGUUCGCUGACGCAACCGACGCAUCAAACUCAACCUUCUUGUCAGCAUAAGCCUUCCCAGCUUCUUCAAGGGUUGCAUAAGUACCCAACCACACCUUAGUUUUGGUAAGUGGGUUUCUAAUCUCAGCAGCCCAUUUGCCUGAUUGCCUCAGCCUAACUCCCACUGGCUUGUUAACUUGCAUACGUCUAGAGUUUUUGUGAUACUGAGAACUCUCAGAGAGCAGAAAGGGGAGGUUAAUCUCAUGGACAAUGCGCUUCACCUUAGGAGGCUUACACUCGAACCAUUCGUCGCUAGAGGAGUCAUCAGUAGCAUAAGGGUCACUGACAAUAAUACGAACUUUCCUUCCUCUCACGGACUUCUUCAUAUCUGAUUCAAACACUUCAAAAUCUCUUACCAAAAACUGCUGAAUCAGACAAGGGGCUUUGUCUCAGCGAACUAUGAAAAAGGGUAACCUUUGCCUCUUGUGAGUCCUGUACAAAUAAAAAGAAACCCAUAACCAGUUAGGCUUCUUCUUGUAGAUGGAGAGGAGACAAGAAAGGUCAUACCUUUUAGGUCUUACGCCCAUGGAAAGUGAUGGAACCUCCAGAACAAGCCUCUGCUUGGAGCAGAAGCGAAGAGAGUUAAGAACAGUGGUCAGAACAAAGAACAGAGCAGACGAGGUCGAAGAAGACGAUCGAGUAGGAGAGGAGACGUGAAACAGAGACGAAAUCAAAGCCGAUUCAGACACAGCCGACAUAAAUCUCCGACCUUUACUGAUUGUUCCUGUUCUUCAAUAAGACGCAGAACCCAGAAAGAUCAGUGACAAAGCAAACCCUUAAACCCUAGAAAGAAGUGUAAAAAAAAGGUUCUUGAUUUUCACUCUGUUUUGCAGAAAAAUCAGAUCUUUAGAGAGAGAGAAGAACGUAAACAACAGCGACAGUAGCGAAUCUAAGAGAAGACUUUGGUUUUGAUUAAUUAAACUAACGAGUUCCUGGGAGAGAUUGUGUAUGAAAAAAAAUUAAAGCUUUUUCACCUACCUUUGUGUGAGGCGUACUCUUGAGUUUUCUCUCAGGGAUAAAGCAGCUUUCAACCUCUGUUUAUAUUCUGUUAUUUUUUGAUUCACCUCUCCGAUUUUCUCUCUAGGUAUUUAUCUUCUGGUCAAAAGGAGCAAUUAUCUUUCUUUCUUUUUUUAUUACUAGACCCAUUCAAACAAAACGUAACAAUUUUGGAAGUAAAAUAUAUACUUCCUAUAUAAUUUCACAUUUUCUAAAAUAUGCGAGAGCAGAAUUUAUUAAAUUUCAUUCAAAUUAUGCAAUGUAUUUUUCUUUUAAAGAAAUCAUUUUAUUGAUUAAAAGUUAGAGGUUGAAAAUGAAAACAAACCCUCCAUAUGGAUACUUUAACUAUACUUUUUUUUGUCAAACGGAUACUUUAACUAUACAAAAUGGUAUAAAAUCUACUAUAUUUGUAAGGUUAACCCAAAAAUAAAUCUAUAUCUGCUUACAUUUUCAGAUAAGGAAUUCUAUUUGAGGGUUUUUAUUCUUAAAAAUAUUUUGUUAGCAUUCUUCUCUUGUAAAGAUCUACAUCCAACUAAGCUACAUAUGUUUGAUUACAUAAAUUGUUUUUUUUUUCUGACUGAAAUAAAUAUAUGAUACUCCAGUAGAAUAAAUACUGAGAUCUGGUAGACAAAUAUUCAAAAUGAGAAGAAAUUACAGCAUAAAUUAUCAUAUUUUUAUGUUCUCUUGAAUUAGUAAAAAUCUGAUAAAAGUAGUAUAUCAUCAAUGUAUAAGGGAUGUGCAAAUUGAUGGGCCCAUGACCAACCAUGCUUAAUAUCCCAUGCAUCUAUCAUGGCCCACCUAAAAUUCCAAUCGUCUCAGGGUACCCACUUGGCCACUUCUACCGUGUGAAUGUGAUACAUUUUCUCCCUUUUUUCUUUCUAAACCUCGUUUACCAAUGAAUUCAGGUGAAAAUAGUAAAGUGUCAAAUUGGGCCGGCCUGUCCCAAACAAAAGUUAUCUGUGGUAGAUUGGCCCGCAAAGUUCACGGGUAACUUGUAUAAAAAUAUAAGCCCUUGAUAAAUUUGUACGGUUAGCUUAAUGACAACGAAACACACAUUGAUUUUUCUUCUACGACUUCUAAAGUUUUGCUUGACGUCUUAAACAAAGCCAUAAACAAAGAGAAAAAAAAAAAAUUUGACCAAAAAAAAUUUGACAAGAAAAAAAAGAAAAAAAGAAAAAAAGAAAAAAAGAAGAAGAGAAAAGACACAUAGUAUUGAAUACUAAUGAAGUAAUGAUAAUACAACUAACUCACGAUUUCUGUCAUUAUGCAUAGGCCUCGGACAUUUAUCAGGAAAAUCGAUUAUGUACCUAAAAAUAUCGAUUAUGUGCCUAUAAAUAUCGAUUAUAUUUAGUUUCUAAAUAACCAACAUCUUAAGAAUAUUAUCUAUAAACCAAAAUACCAAAAAUCUGAAUUAUUUAAAUAUCUUUUAGAGAAAUACCCUAGGAUAUCAUUAAAAAAGUUUUUGUCACAAAUAUAGAAUUAAAGAUCAAAAUGACUAAAAUGUUUCAUUAAAUAGGUAAAUAUACACUUAUAAAUUAUAGCAAUAGAGUUAAAUAAUCCAAACUUUAAAGUUUAGAGUUAAGGGGUGGAGAUUUAUAAUUGAAGUUUAAAAUUUUAUAAAAUAAAAAAUAAAUAUUAAAAAUUUGAAAAGUAUUUUCGAAUUACAAAAAAAAAAUUCAAAAAUAAAACAAAAAAUAAUAUCAAAAAUAAAACAUUUUGGUCAUUUUCCUACUUAAGAUCUAUUUUUGUAACAAAAACUUGAAAAUUGUCUAUUUGGGAAAAUGGCUCUGUCUUUUGUCCAAAAUAUUUUAAAUUCUCCGAAUUACCUAAUAUUUUUAUCCGAACAACCGAAUCAUCCGAUAUUCAACCUGAAAAAACCUUGAAUUAUCUAACAUUUUUUAACCUAUAACAUUUGAAAUUACUCAAGAAAAUAAAAACCUAACCAGAAUUAAAUUAAACCCAAUUUUUUUUGCAUAUUAGCUAAUUUCCAACGUUACUACUCUAAACGAACCAAAAACUAACACAAUCAAAUCGAAACCUAAUCGGAUUUUGUAAAUAAUUUCUAAAUUUCUAAAUUUCUAAAUUUCUAGCACUAGAAAGCUGACAACUGAAAUAUCAAAACUGAACCGAAAAUCAAAAUAUUCAAACUGAACCGAAAACCGAACGCUCGUAUUUUUGUGUAGCAUCAAAUUCAGUGUUCAUGUAUAAGCAUGAUUGGACCAUUUUUUAUUUACGAUUUAUUUCACUUAAAUUAUUUUGCUUAUGAGGCCGAAAUUUGAUUAUUUUGCUAAAUAUAUUUUUGCACUCGAAUAAAAUAUGAGGCUGUCUGGUUGUGUAUGAUUGGACCAUAAAACAUGAUGCAUGCAAUGCAAUUUUAAAUUGAAAACCACAGAUCCAUUGAAUUGUUUAUCUUUAAAAAUUAAAAAAAUGAAGCCUGCAUACGAAUCGCAGCAAGAACCAUGAUACUUCUUCACCAGUCACAUUCAUAUAUCUUUAAUGGGAAGGUGGUAUCAGUCAUGAGAUCAGAAUCAAUGGGACGAUCAGUUCAAUUAUUUGUGCUGAUAUAAAAAGAACUUUUAAAACCGUUUUACUUUAUUUUUAUAAGGCCAAUAAAUCACUCAUCCCUGUGUUUAUGAAUCUGUGUGAUCUGCUCAGACAAGUCAAGAAACAUGGCUACCAAAUCAGACAUGUUCGGAGACCACACCAGAGAGUCGCUUCUCUCUCGAAAAGGCUGCUCAGACUUCGGCUUCAAUGACUCCGGCAUCAUCUCCGACGACCGUCGUUCUAAAUGGCGGUGUUUCCGGUUCUUCUCCGACGGGAUCGUCGCUUCCUGGAAAGCUCUCUACGACUUCGCCGCCAGUUUGUACGAGAUGGGUCGUUCCGAUCGCCGGAAAGUUUACUUCGCCGUGAAGAUGGGAGUGGCUCUCGCGCUCUGCUCUUUCGUCAUCUAUCUCAAGGAGCCGCUUCAUGACGCUAGCAAGUACGCUGUGUGGGCGAUUCUAACUGUCGUCGUCGUCUUUGAGUAUAGCAUAGGUACUGGAACUGACUUUCCUGGAACAAUUCUAGAUUCGAAUCGAUUAGAUUAGCUUCUGGGUUUGUUGUUGUUGCUCGAUUGAAUCUGAAAGUUUGUUCCUUUCUCAAUAAAUCAGCACCUGAGAUUGUUGUCUGAAGCAAUUUAAGAUCUGUCCUGGUUAAAGGGUUUAGAAUUAUUACAGUUCUAUCCACAUCUGUUGCUUGCUUGAUCUCUCUCUCAGAGAUCUCUGGUCUGAUGAUGUGUAACUCUUUUUUUUUUCGUGUAGGAGCAACAUUGGUAAAAGGAUUCAACAGAGCCAUAGGCACACUCUCUGCUGGUGGGCUUGCUCUUGGCAUAGCUAUUUUCCAUUUUUUAAUGCUGUAUGUUUACAUAUUUUUUACAAUUUUCGAAAAUAAUUAAUAUUAAAAUGUAAAACUAUAUUUUAUGCCACGUGUCAUCUUUCGGGAGAAAUUUUUUCCGCUGAUGUGGACGCCCUAUGGAGCCUCAAAAGCUCCCUUUUAUUAAUUUUCGAAAAUAAUUAAUAUUAAAAUGUAAAACUAUAUUUUAUGCCACGUGUCAUCGUUCGGGAGAAAUUUUUUCCGCUGAUGUGGACGCCCUAUGGAGCCUCAAAAGCUCCAUUUUAUUAGUAGAGUGAAAAAUAGUAAUCUUACAUAUGUUUAAUGUAGUUUUCCAUUUUUUAAUGCUGUAUGUUUACAUAUUUUUUACAAUUUUCGAAAAUAAUUAAUAUUAAAAUGUAAAACUAUAUUUUAUGCCACGUGUCAUCUUUUGGGAGAAAUUUUUUUCGCUAAUGUGUACGCUCUAUGGAGCCUCAAAAGCUCCAUUUUAUUAGUAGAGAUUUUUGUUAGCAAAGUCGUAAUCACCAAAUCAUGGGCCGGCGACUUCUUUAUGUUAUGUUGGGAUGUAUGGGCUUAUCAGUGCACUAACCUCAUGUGCUUAUUAUGUCUUACGUUCACUUGAGUUCUCGAAUUUAACCCGUCUACAUUCAGAUUCAAACCUUCUGAAACAAUUGUGCCAAUUUGUAAGUUUCUUUUAGAUAUCUAAUAUAUCCUAAAUAAAAUUAUUUGGUUGGCUGAGCAAAGAUAUCUUAUCUCCAACUCAUAAGUUAAAAAAAAAAUGAUGUACGAAUAUGGUUGACGACUUGACUUGUUGUUGGAAAUGCGUAGGAUCCAAAAAAAGUCAACCAGAAACAGAACUUGACUCUGAUUGUGAAUCCAGUAAUCAGAACAGAGGAACAGUAUUGAAUAAUAUUAAAAUGGGAGAGUACUUGGUAACUGGAGGGACAAGCUUUAUAGCCUCUCACGUUGUAAAGGCACUUCUUGACUUGGGCCAUUCCGUAAGAACAACUGUUAGAGACUCCUCAGGUACUUUCAGAUCUCUCAUUUAUGUUUUGCUGCUACGAGUUUUGUUUCUAACUAUUUUGUAAAGAUGAAGAGAAGGUUAGGUUUUUGUGGGAGUUAAAAGGAGCCAAAGAAAGGUUAAAGAUUUUCGAAGCCGAUCUAACAGUGGAGGGAAGCUUUGACGAGGCUGUCAAAGGUGUUGAUGGAGUCUUCCACAUUGCCUCUCGUGUUACUGUUUGUCUGGACAAAAAUGAUCUGGUCAAUUACAGUUUACUUUUGUUAGAAAAUAAUCUCAUUUUCUAUUUCAUAUCGAUCAAAGUAGUUGAAGUAUUGGAGAUAACUGAUGUUUUUUUUUCCCUCAGGAGAAGUUGGUCGAUCGAGAUAUAAAUGGAACAAGGAACUUGAUGAACUCUUGCGAAAAAUCAAGAAACACUGUGAAAAGGAUCGUUCUCACAUCUUCUUCAACCGCAGUCAGGUACCGCUAUGAUGCCACAGACGCCUCUCCACUUAACGAAUCGCAUUAUAGCGAUCUUGACUACUGCAGAAACUUCAAAGUGAGAAAACAUACCUCAUUUUUGUAUCAAUUUCACCCAUCCUCAUGGCUCAUACAUUGUUGUCUGAAAAAUGUAUGUAGAUUUGGUAUGGUUAUGCAAAGACAUUAGGAGAGAAAGAAGCUUGGACUAUCGCAGCCGAGAAGAAUCUAGAUCUAGUGGUUGUAAUCCCUUCGUUUUGUAUCGGUCCAAUACUUAGUCCAGAACCCACAAGCUCCCCUCUCAUUCUCCUCUCCAUAAUCAAAGGUUAGGGAUAGUCUUUUCAUUUUGACUAUUACAUUUUAAAUUUCUGUAACGCACCUCAACUUUCUUGUUUUGACUAGGUGUUCGGGGAGAUUAUCCGAAUGUCACGGGAGGGUUUGUGCACAUAGAAGAUGUAGUUGCUGCACAAAUCUUAGCAAUGGAAGAGCCUAAAGCAUCAGGAAGAUUCAUAUGUUCGAGUUCAGUGGCUCACUGGUCAGAGAUCAUUGAGAUGCUAAGACCUAAAUACCCGUUAUACCCAUUUGAGACCAAGUAGUUACUUUACUCCCAAUCUAUAUUUGACACUUUUAUGUCAUGUUUUUUGAUGUUUUGCACAAAUAAAACUGUCACAGGUGCAGUAGUGAAGAAGGGAAAGAUAUGCCUCAUAGCUUGGACACAACAAAGAUACGUGAACUUGGCUUACCGCCAUUCAAGUCUUUAGCUGAGAUGUUUGAUGACUGCAUCAAGUGCUUCCAAGACAAGGGUCUACUCUGAAACUCCUACUGUUAUCAGAAAAUCAAAGUGAUCUUAGCUUAGUAGUUUGGUCUUGUUUUAAGUUUAUUUUAAACACCAAUAAUCUAGCCUAUCUUAUGAUUCCCCACUAUGUCGUUCCCAUCUUCUUGGAGUUUAGCAUAAAUCGACUGAUAGUGUCACACGUGCUUGCUUGUGACAUGGGUCUGUCUGUACAAAGAAGGGUGCAAGAGCACGUGUACACAAAAAGUAGUGGAUAAUGCCCACUUUUGAGCCUCCAAAAGCAUAAACGCAUGCGAUAACGUUUGUAGACUCUACAAAGAGGAAGGUAGGAACCUAAGAGACGCAGAAGGCGAGACCAACAAAGAACAACUACACAUAAUGCAUCACAGAUUUAACAUAAGAGACUGAAGAAGGUAAAGCCAACAUCCAAAACUCCUGCAAAAACCCUCUUUAGAAGGAUCUAAAAGCACAAGGAGAUUACACAUGCUACAUUCUUAUUCAUGUUCUUUUGAAAUAGCAAACUAAACCUUAAACGAAACGACUAAUUAUUGGAAUACAGUGAAUCAGAUAAGCUGAAAAACUUCAGGGGCAAGCGAUGUUGAGAGGAGGCGCUGCAAAGGCAAACUUCAUAUCAUCAUGCUCAAGUUCCACAUCUGUGAAGUCACAGUCAGGUAGCUCACUUGGUAAGCUGACGUUAUUAACAUUAUCAACCACAGAGAAAUCAUCAAACAGAUGAUCAUAGUCCUCGUCCUUGAAAAAAUAAUCAAAGUCCAUCUCCCCAGCAGCCUUUGCGCCAGACUUCUCUUCUGCUGCUAAGAAGCUCAGAUCAGGGAUCUCCAGCUCAGAAAGGUCGAAACCUUCCUUGGUCAAAUCACCAGAAGCAGCAACAUCUUUCCUCAGAGACACCUUUUCUUUAGAAGCAGCAGAACGCAAGCACUGGCUGUUCGCUGACGCAACCGACGCAUCAAACUCAACCUUCUUGUCAGCAUAAGCCUUCCCAGCUUCUUCAAGGGUUGCAUAAGUACCCAACCACACCUUAGUUUUGGUAAGUGGGUUUCUAAUCUCAGCAGCCCAUUUGCCUGAUUGCCUCAGCCUAACUCCCACUGGCUUGUUAACUUGCAUACGUCUAGAGUUUUUGUGAUACUGAGAACUCUCAGAGAGCAGAAAGGGGAGGUUAAUCUCAUGGACAAUGCGCUUCACCUUAGGAGGCUUACACUCGAACCAUUCGUCGCUAGAGGAGUCAUCAGUAGCAUAAGGGUCACUGACAAUAAUACGAACUUUCCUUCCUCUCACGGACUUCUUCAUAUCUGAUUCAAACACUUCAAAAUCUCUUACCAAAAACUGCUGAAUCAGACAAGGGGCUUUGUCUCAGCGAACUAUGAAAAAGGGUAACCUUUGCCUCUUGUGAGUCCUGUACAAAUAAAAAGAAACCCAUAACCAGUUAGGCUUCUUCUUGUAGAUGGAGAGGAGACAAGAAAGGUCAUACCUUUUAGGUCUUACGCCCAUGGAAAGUGAUGGAACCUCCAGAACAAGCCUCUGCUUGGAGCAGAAGCGAAGAGAGUUAAGAACAGUGGUCAGAACAAAGAACAGAGCAGACGAGGUCGAAGAAGACGAUCGAGUAGGAGAGGAGACGUGAAACNNNNNNNNNNNNNNNNNNNNNNNNNNNNNNNNNNNNNNNNNNNNNNNNNNNNNNNNNNNNNNNNNNNNNNNNNNNNNNNNNNNNNNNNNNNNNNNNNNNNNNNNNNNNNNNNNNNNNNNNNNNNNNNNNNNNNNNNNNNNNNNNNNNNNNNNNNNNNNNNNNNNNNNNNNNNNNNNNNNNNNNNNNNNNNNNNNNNNNNNNNNNNNNNNNNNNNNNNNNNNNNNNNNNNNNNNNNNNNNNNNNNNNNNNNNNNNNNNNNNNNNNNNNNNNNNNNNNNNNNNNNNNNNNNNNNNNNNNNNNNNNNNNNNNNNNNNNNNNNNNNNNNNNNNNNNNNNNNNNNNNNNNNNNNNNNNNNNNNNNNNNNNNNNNNNNNNNNNNNNNNNNNNNNNNNNNNNNNNNNNNNNNNNNNNNNNNNNNNNNNNNNNNNNNNNNNNNNNNNNNNNNNNNNNNNNNNNNNNNNNNNNNNNNNNNNNNNNNNNNNNNNNNNNNNNNNNNNNNNNNNNNNNNNNNNNNNNNNNNNNNNNNNNNNNNNNNNNNNNNNNNNNNNNNNNNNNNNNNNNNNUUUUCCAUUUUUUAAUGCUGUAUGUUUACAUAUUUUUUACAAUUUUCGAAAAUAAUUAAUAUUAAAAUGUAAAACUAUAUUUUAUGCCACGUGUCAUCUUUCGGGAGAAAUUUUUUCCGCUGAUGUGGACGCCCUAUGGAGCCUCAAAAGCUCCCUUUUAUUAAUUUUCGAAAAUAAUUAAUAUUAAAAUGUAAAACUAUAUUUUAUGCCACGUGUCAUCGUUCGGGAGAAAUUUUUUCCGCUGAUGUGGACGCCCUAUGGAGCCUCAAAAGCUCCAUUUUAUUAGUAGAGUGAAAAAUAGUAAUCUUACAUAUGUUUAAUGUAGUUUUCCAUUUUUUAAUGCUGUAUGUUUACAUAUUUUUUACAAUUUUCGAAAAUAAUUAAUAUUAAAAUGUAAAACUAUAUUUUAUGCCACGUGUCAUCUUUUGGGAGAAAUUUUUUUCGCUAAUGUGUACGCUCUAUGGAGCCUCAAAAGCUCCAUUUUAUUAGUAGAGAUUUUUGUUAGCAAAGUCGUAAUCACCAAAUCAUGGGCCGGCGACUUCUUUAUGUUAUGUUGGGAUGUAUGGGCUUAUCAGUGCACUAACCUCAUGUGCUUAUUAUGUCUUACGUUCACUUGAGUUCUCGAAUUUAACCCGUCUACAUUCAGAUUCAAACCUUCUGAAACAAUUGUGCCAAUUUGUAAGUUUCUUUUAGAUAUCUAAUAUAUCCUAAAUAAAAUUAUUUGGUUGGCUGAGCAAAGAUAUCUUAUCUCCAACUCAUAAGUUAAAAAAAAAAUGAUGUACGAAUAUGGUUGACGACUUGACUUGUUGUUGGAAAUGCGUAGGAUCCAAAAAAAGUCAACCAGAAACAGAACUUGACUCUGAUUGUGAAUCCAGUAAUCAGAACAGAGGAACAGUAUUGAAUAAUAUUAAAAUGGGAGAGUACUUGGUAACUGGAGGGACAAGCUUUAUAGCCUCUCACGUUGUAAAGGCACUUCUUGACUUGGGCCAUUCCGUAAGAACAACUGUUAGAGACUCCUCAGGUACUUUCAGAUCUCUCAUUUAUGUUUUGCUGCUACGAGUUUUGUUUCUAACUAUUUUGUAAAGAUGAAGAGAAGGUUAGGUUUUUGUGGGAGUUAAAAGGAGCCAAAGAAAGGUUAAAGAUUUUCGAAGCCGAUCUAACAGUGGAGGGAAGCUUUGACGAGGCUGUCAAAGGUGUUGAUGGAGUCUUCCACAUUGCCUCUCGUGUUACUGUUUGUCUGGACAAAAAUGAUCUGGUCAAUUACAGUUUACUUUUGUUAGAAAAUAAUCUCAUUUUCUAUUUCAUAUCGAUCAAAGUAGUUGAAGUAUUGGAGAUAACUGAUGUUUUUUUUUCCCUCAGGAGAAGUUGGUCGAUCGAGAUAUAAAUGGAACAAGGAACUUGAUGAACUCUUGCGAAAAAUCAAGAAACACUGUGAAAAGGAUCGUUCUCACAUCUUCUUCAACCGCAGUCAGGUACCGCUAUGAUGCCACAGACGCCUCUCCACUUAACGAAUCGCAUUAUAGCGAUCUUGACUACUGCAGAAACUUCAAAGUGAGAAAACAUACCUCAUUUUUGUAUCAAUUUCACCCAUCCUCAUGGCUCAUACAUUGUUGUCUGAAAAAUGUAUGUAGAUUUGGUAUGGUUAUGCAAAGACAUUAGGAGAGAAAGAAGCUUGGACUAUCGCAGCCGAGAAGAAUCUAGAUCUAGUGGUUGUAAUCCCUUCGUUUUGUAUCGGUCCAAUACUUAGUCCAGAACCCACAAGCUCCCCUCUCAUUCUCCUCUCCAUAAUCAAAGGUUAGGGAUAGUCUUUUCAUUUUGACUAUUACAUUUUAAAUUUCUGUAACGCACCUCAACUUUCUUGUUUUGACUAGGUGUUCGGGGAGAUUAUCCGAAUGUCACGGGAGGGUUUGUGCACAUAGAAGAUGUAGUUGCUGCACAAAUCUUAGCAAUGGAAGAGCCUAAAGCAUCAGGAAGAUUCAUAUGUUCGAGUUCAGUGGCUCACUGGUCAGAGAUCAUUGAGAUGCUAAGACCUAAAUACCCGUUAUACCCAUUUGAGACCAAGUAGUUACUUUACUCCCAAUCUAUAUUUGACACUUUUAUGUCAUGUUUUUUGAUGUUUUGCACAAAUAAAACUGUCACAGGUGCAGUAGUGAAGAAGGGAAAGAUAUGCCUCAUAGCUUGGACACAACAAAGAUACGUGAACUUGGCUUACCGCCAUUCAAGUCUUUAGCUGAGAUGUUUGAUGACUGCAUCAAGUGCUUCCAAGACAAGGGUCUACUCUGAAACUCCUACUGUUAUCAGAAAAUCAAAGUGAUCUUAGCUUAGUAGUUUGGUCUUGUUUUAAGUUUAUUUUAAACACCAAUAAUCUAGCCUAUCUUAUGAUUCCCCACUAUGUCGUUCCCAUCUUCUUGGAGUUUAGCAUAAAUCGACUGAUAGUGUCACACGUGCUUGCUUGUGACAUGGGUCUGUCUGUACAAAGAAGGGUGCAAGAGCACGUGUACACAAAAAGUAGUGGAUAAUGCCCACUUUUGAGCCUCCAAAAGCAUAAACGCAUGCGAUAACGUUUGUAGACUCUACAAAGAGGAAGGUAGGAACCUAAGAGACGCAGAAGGCGAGACCAACAAAGAACAACUACACAUAAUGCAUCACAGAUUUAACAUAAGAGACUGAAGAAGGUAAAGCCAACAUCCAAAACUCCUGCAAAAACCCUCUUUAGAAGGAUCUAAAAGCACAAGGAGAUUACACAUGCUACAUUCUUAUUCAUGUUCUUUUGAAAUAGCAAACUAAACCUUAAACGAAACGACUAAUUAUUGGAAUACAGUGAAUCAGAUAAGCUGAAAAACUUCAGGGGCAAGCGAUGUUGAGAGGAGGCGCUGCAAAGGCAAACUUCAUAUCAUCAUGCUCAAGUUCCACAUCUGUGAAGUCACAGUCAGGUAGCUCACUUGGUAAGCUGACGUUAUUAACAUUAUCAACCACAGAGAAAUCAUCAAACAGAUGAUCAUAGUCCUCGUCCUUGAAAAAAUAAUCAAAGUCCAUCUCCCCAGCAGCCUUUGCGCCAGACUUCUCUUCUGCUGCUAAGAAGCUCAGAUCAGGGAUCUCCAGCUCAGAAAGGUCGAAACCUUCCUUGGUCAAAUCACCAGAAGCAGCAACAUCUUUCCUCAG
Molecule: long non-coding RNA, 12426 nt
Filed under: Brassica napus (rape)
Lineage: Eukaryota; Viridiplantae; Streptophyta; Magnoliopsida; Brassicales; Brassicaceae
Description: long non-coding RNA (BNAP_LNC008057)
Source: RNAcentral